GACGAACGCUGGCGGCGCGCUUAAUACAUGCAAGUCGAACGAGAAGCCAGAGCUUGCUCUGGUGGAAAGUGGCGAACGGGUGAGUAACACGUGAGAAACCUGCCCCAAAGAUUGGGAUAAGCCUUGGAAACGAGGUCUAAUACCAAAUACCUUCUUUUUAACACAUGUUAAAAAGAAGAAAUGCUCCGGCGCUUUGGGAUGGUCUCGCGAUCUAUCAGCUUGUUGGUGAGGUAACGGCUCACCAAGGCAUCGACGGAUAGCUGGUCUGAGAGGAUGUCCAGCCACAUUGGAACUGAGACACGGUCCAAACUCCUACGGGAGGCAGCAGUAGGGAAUCUUGCACAAUGAGGGAACCUUGAUGCAGCGACGCCGCGUGCGGGACGAAGGCCCUAGGGUUGUAAACCGCUUUCAGUAGGGACGAAAGUGACGGUACCUACAGAAGAAGCCCCGGCAACUAUGUGCCAGCAGCCGCGGUAAU
This 478-nucleotide ribosomal RNA is filed under the name uncultured bacterium. Its description in RNAcentral is "bacterial SSU rRNA". It matches the Rfam family "Bacterial small subunit ribosomal RNA", at positions 28 to 524 of the family's 1533-position model. The record is from RNAcentral.